UGUAUGUUGUGCGCAUGGAGAGCCAGGA
Molecule: small RNA, 28 nt
Filed under: Bombyx mori (domestic silkworm)
Lineage: Eukaryota; Metazoa; Arthropoda; Insecta; Lepidoptera; Bombycidae
Description: piRNA piR-bmo-1484458
Source: RNAcentral